RNAcentral lists this long non-coding RNA (543 nucleotides) under Salarias fasciatus (jewelled blenny). RNAcentral describes it as "lncRNA (ENSSFAG00005004828.1)". Lineage: Eukaryota; Metazoa; Chordata; Actinopteri; Blenniiformes; Blenniidae. The record is from RNAcentral.
CCAGACUGAACUGACAGACAUGAUUUUGCAUCAUGAAGUACCACCUCCAACACAGACAGUAUCUUCUGUACGUCCUCCCAGUUCGGACUUCCAGAGUCUUCUGAACGGCUUACUCAGCAAAGAACCCGAUAAGAGGAUGGACUGGCCAGAGUUGCUGGAUCACCCUUUCUGGAAACAGGAGGAAGAUAUUGUGGUGGAAGGUGAAACGGAAGAUGAUGAAGGCUGCAACGUUAAACAAAAAGUCUGUGAAGGAGUUAAUUCAGUUUGCUUGAGAAACACAUGGACACAUAACAUUUCACCUCCCGGACUGACAGACAAGCUUCUCACCAACCGCUCAGUCCCAUCACAGCUGAUCCCAUCGCAUCAAACGACUGACAGACUGUUUGACAGAAGCACCGAUCGCCAACAAUCUGUCAAACACGUGUCCUGCAGACCCUUAAAGUACGACCAAGGUUUAGAUAAGGAGCCGGGAAAGGAGAGAAGAAGGGAAGAGCUGGAAGAAACCGAAGAUGACCUCAAGCUAAGCGGAACCAAGCAGACAUG